This 439-nucleotide ribosomal RNA is filed under the name uncultured bacterium. RNAcentral describes it as "partial 16S ribosomal RNA". It matches the Rfam family "Bacterial small subunit ribosomal RNA", at positions 339 to 795 of the family's 1533-position model. The record is from RNAcentral.
CUACGGGAUGCAGCAGUGAGGAAUAUUGCACAAUGGGGGAAACUCUGAUGCAGCAACGCCGCGUGGAGGAUGACGCAUUUCGGUGUGUAAACUCCUUUUAUAUGUCAAGAAAAUGACGGUAGCAUAUGAAUAAGCACCGGCUAACUCCGUGCCAGCAGCCGCGGUAAUACGGAGGGUGCAAGCGUUACUCGGAAUCACUGGGCGUAAAGGACGCGUAGGCGGGAUAGAAAGUCAGGUGUGAAAUCCUACAGCUUAACUGUAGAACUGCACUUGAAACUGGUAACCUAGAGUAUGGGAGGGGGAGAUGGAAUUAGUGGUGUAGGGGUAAAAUCCGUAGAUAUCACUAGGAAUACCUAAAGCGAAGGCGAUCUCCUGGAACAUAACUGACGCUAAGGCGUGAAAGCGUGGGGAGCAAACAGGAUUAGAUACCCCAGUAGUC